RNAcentral lists this ribosomal RNA (470 nucleotides) under uncultured organism. RNAcentral's name for it is "partial 16S ribosomal RNA". It matches the Rfam family "Bacterial small subunit ribosomal RNA", at positions 334 to 800 of the family's 1533-position model. The record is from RNAcentral.
CACUCCUACGGGAGGCAGCAGUGAGGAAUAUUGGACAAUGGGUGGAAGCCUGAUCCAGCCAUCCCGCGUGCAGGAAGACGGCCCUAUGGGUUGUAAACUGCUUUUAUCUGGGGAUAAACCUACUCACGUGUAAGUAGCUGAAGGUACCAGAAGAAUAAGCACCGGCUAACUCCGUGCCAGCAGCCGCGGUAAUACGGAGGGUGCAAGCAUUAUCCGGAUUUAUUGGGUUUAAAGGGUCCGUAGGCGGACUGAUAAGUCAGUGGUGAAAUCCGACAGCUUAACUGUCGAACUGCCAUUGAUACUGUUAGUCUUGAGUAAGGUUGAAGUGGCUGGAAUAAGUAGUGUAGCGGUGAAAUGCAUAGAUAUUACUUAGAACACCAAUUGCGAAGGCAGGUCACUAAGUCUUAACUGACGCUGAUGGACGAAAGCGUGGGGAGCGAACAGGAUUAGAUACCCGAGUAGUCCCAUGA